GCUACCAUGCAGUCGUACGAGAGUUUUUACUCUAGUGGCGGACGGGUGAGUAACACGUGAGAAUUUGCCUUUAGGAGGGGGAUAACAAUUGGAAACGAAUGCUAAUACCCCAUAUGCUUUCGAGUGAAAUGGAUUUAUAUUAUCCGCCUAGAGAGAAGCUCGCGGCUGAUUAGCUUGUUGGUAAGGUAAGAGCUUACCAAGGCGACGAUCAGUAUCUGGUUUGAGAGGACGAUCAGACACACUGGAACUGAGACACGGUCCAGACUCUUACGGGAGGCAGCAGUAGGGAAUUUUCCGCAAUGGGCGAAAGCCUGACGGAGCGACACCGCGUGCAGGAUGACGGCCCUCGGGUUGUAAAC
RNAcentral lists this ribosomal RNA (359 nucleotides) under uncultured bacterium. Its description in RNAcentral is "bacterial SSU rRNA". It matches the Rfam family "Bacterial small subunit ribosomal RNA", at positions 50 to 430 of the family's 1533-position model. The record is from RNAcentral.